AAUAGAUACCCCGGUAGUCCACGCCGUAAACGAUGGAUACUAGCUAUUGGAGGUAUCGACCCCUUCAGUAGCGAAGCUAACGCGUUAAGUAUCCCGCCUGUGGAGUACGGUCGCAAGACUAAAACCAUAAAGGAAUUGACGGGGACCCGCACAAGCGGUGGAUCAUGUUCUUUAAUUCGAUGCUAAACCGAAGAACCUUACCAGGGCUUGACAUCCCGAGAAUUUCUCCGAAAGGAGAGAGUGCUUUUAGAACUCGGUGACAGAUGUUGCAUGGCCGUCGUCAGCUCGUGUCGUGAGAUGUUUGGUUAAGUCCAUCAACGAGCGCAACCCCGUUGUGAAUAGUUGUAUUUUUUACUAUUCAGACUGCCCCGGGUCAACCGGGGGUAGGAAGGAGGGGUAUGAUGUCAGGUCAGUAUUACUCUUACGUCCUGGGCUAGAAACGUGAUACAAUGGCAGGUACAAUGCGCAGCGAAGCCGCGAGGUGAAGCAAAUCGCACCAAAGCCUGUCCCAGUUCGGAUUGGAGGCUGAAACUCGCCUCCAUGAAGUCGG
Molecule: ribosomal RNA, 550 nt
Filed under: uncultured bacterium
Lineage: Bacteria
Description: bacterial SSU rRNA
Rfam family: Bacterial small subunit ribosomal RNA
Source: RNAcentral